GAUGAACGCUGGCGGCGUGCUUAAUACAUGCAAGUCGAGCGAACGGACGAGAAGCUUGCUUCUCUGAUGUUAGCGGAGGACGGGUGAGUAACACGUGGAUAACCUACCUAUAAGACUGGGAUAACUUCGGGAAACCGGAGCUAAUACCGGAUAAUAUUUUGAACCGCAUGGUUCAAAAGUGAAAGACGGUCUUGCUGUCACUUAUAGAUGGAUCCGCGCUGCAUUAGCUAGUUGGUAAGGUAACGGCUUACCAAGGCAACGAUGCAUAGCCGACCUGAGAGGGUGAUCGGCCACACUGGAACUGAGACACGGUCCAGACUCCUACGGGGGGCAGCAGUAGGGAAUCUUCCGCAAUGGGCGAAAGCCUGACGGAGCAACGCCGCGUGAGUGAUGAAGGUCUUCGGAUCGUAAAACUCUGUUAUUAGGGAAGAACAUAUGUGUAAGUAACUGUGCACAUCUUGACGGUACCUAAUCAGAAAGCCACGGCUAACUACGUG
This 497-nucleotide ribosomal RNA is filed under the name uncultured bacterium. RNAcentral's name for it is "partial 16S ribosomal RNA". It matches the Rfam family "Bacterial small subunit ribosomal RNA", at positions 28 to 507 of the family's 1533-position model. The record is from RNAcentral.